GAUGAACGCUGGCGGCGUGCCUAAUACAUGCAAGUCGAGCGAACGGACGAGAAGCUUGCUUCUCUGAUGUUAGCGGCGGACGGGUGAGUAACACGUGUAUAACCUACCUAUAAGACUGGGAUAACUUCGGGAAACCGUAGCUAAUACCAGAUAAUAUUUUGAACCGCAUGGUUCAAAAGUGAAAGACGGUCUUGCUGUCACUUAUAGAUGGAUCCCCGCUGCAUUAGCUAGUUGGUAAGGUAACGGCUUACCAAGGCAACGAUGCAUAGCCGACCUGAGAGGGUGAUAGGCCACACUGGAACGGAGACAGGGUCCAGACUACUACGGGAGGCAGCAGUAGGGAAUCUUCCGCAAUGGGCGAAAGCCUGACGGAGCAACGCCGAGUGAGUGAUGAAGGUCUUCGGAUCGUAAAACUCUGUUAUUAGGGAAGAACAUAUGUGUAAGUAACUGUGCACAUCUUGACGGUACCUAAUCAGAAAGCAACGGCUAACUACGUG
Molecule: ribosomal RNA, 497 nt
Filed under: uncultured bacterium
Lineage: Bacteria
Description: partial 16S ribosomal RNA
Rfam family: Bacterial small subunit ribosomal RNA
Source: RNAcentral